RNAcentral lists this ribosomal RNA (253 nucleotides) under uncultured bacterium. RNAcentral describes it as "partial 16S ribosomal RNA". It matches the Rfam family "Bacterial small subunit ribosomal RNA", at positions 524 to 776 of the family's 1533-position model. The record is from RNAcentral.
GACAGAGGGUGCAAACGUUGUUCGGAAUUACUGGGCGUAAAGCGCGUGUAGGCGGCUGCGCAAGUCGGAUGUGAAAUCCCAUGGCUCAACCAUGGAAGUGCACCCGAAACUGCGUAGCUAGAGUCUCGGAGAGGAAGGCGGAAUGCUUGGUGUAGAGGUGAAAUUCGUAGAUAUCAAGCGGAACACCGGUGGCGAAGGCGGCCUUCUGGACGGAUACUGACGCUGAGACGCGACAGCGUGGGGAGCAAACAGG